RNAcentral lists this ribosomal RNA (819 nucleotides) under Christiangramia flava. RNAcentral describes it as "bacterial SSU rRNA". It matches the Rfam family "Bacterial small subunit ribosomal RNA", at positions 396 to 1215 of the family's 1533-position model. The record is from RNAcentral. Lineage: Bacteria; Pseudomonadati; Bacteroidota; Flavobacteriia; Flavobacteriales; Flavobacteriaceae.
GCCGCGUGCAGGAAGACUGCCCUAUGGGUUGUAAACUGCUUUUAUACAGGAAGAACCACACCUACGUGUAGGUGCUUGACGGUACUGUAUGAAUAAGGAUCGGCUAACUCCGUGCCAGCAGCCGCGGUAAUACGGAGGAUCCAAGCGUUAUCCGGAAUCAUUGGGUUUAAAGGGUCCGUAGGCGGGACAAUAAGUCAGUGGUGAAAGUCUUCCGCUCAACGGGAGAAUUGCCAUUGAUACUGUUGUUCUUGAAUUAGUAUGAAGUGGUUGGAAUGAGUAGUGUAGCGGUGAAAUGCAUAGAUAUUACUCAGAACACCUAUUGCGAAGGCAGAUCACUAAUACUAUAUUGACGCUGAUGGACGAAAGCGUAGGUAGCGAACAGGAUUAGAUACCCUGGUAGUCUACGCCGUAAACGAUGGUCACUAGCUGUCCGGCCUAAUUGAGGGCUGGGUGGCUAAGCGAAAGUGAUAAGUGACCCACCUGGGGAGUACGUUCGCAAGAAUGAAACUCAAAGGAAUUGACGGGGGCCCGCACAAGCGGUGGAGCAUGUGGUUUAAUUCGAUGAUACGCGAGGAACCUUACCAGGGCUUAAAUGCAGUCUGACAGGAGUGAAACACUCCCUUCUUCGGACAGAUUGCAAGGUGCUGCAUGGUUGUCGUCAGCUCGUGCCGUGAGGUGUCAGGUUAAGUCCUAUAACGAGCGCAACCCCUUUCGUUAGUUGCCAGCGAGUCAUGUCGGGAACUCUAGCGAGACUGCCGGUGCAAACCGUGAGGAAGGUGGGGAUGACGUCAAAUCAUCACGGCCCUUACGUCCUGGGCC